UACAACACAAAAACAAUGAAAAGAGUCGGGCGACCUGAUGCCUGCCUCCUCCUAUGGAAAUCUCCAAGCAACUUCCGCCGCCGCCUCGACGGGGGACCUGAUGCCUGCCUCCUCCUAUGGAAAUCUCCCAGCAACUUCCGCCGCCGCCUCGACGGGCGACCUGAUGCCUGCCUCCUCCUAUGGAAAUCCCCAAGCAACUUCUGCCGCCGCCUCGACGGGCGACCUGAUGCCUGCCUCCUCCUAUGGAAAUCUCCAAGCAACUUCCGCCGCCGCCUCGGCGGGCGACCUGAUGCCUGCCUCCCAAGGCGCGAGGAGAGGGAAAGAGAGACAGCAUUGUUGGAGACUUCCUCUUCCUCUAUGCCACAAGCUACAAGGUAUGGAACUAUCGCGCGCCCUCUCAACCAUUGCUCAAUAGCUGGGUCUACGACCUGGCAUGAGGAGAGGGAAAGAGAGACAACACUGGAGGAGACUUCCUCUUCCUCUACACAAACUACAAGGUUUAAGGUGCCAGAUCUCUUGUCAUUGAAGCUUGACAUAAAUCUCUUGGCUGAUUCAUGUAUUUCGACAUUGUUCCCCACUGGUCUUGUGAUAAAAUAUUUUGUGAGAGUUGACAAUGAUGGAAUUUUCCAUACGUAUCCUGACCGUGGUGGACCGUUUGAGAGCAUAAAGGAAGUUCAGGAAGCCAUUGACUCCCACCAUGCUGUUCAGCGAAAAAACAUAUGCAUGGAUGGACUUACCGACGAGGAGAGGGCUAUCCGAUGUGCUCUUUACUGGUAUCAUAAUGGCACACGGAAGCACUCCAAAGAAGCUUUUGAUUACUGUACGACGGGUCUCCAGGAAUUGGUUAAGGCUGUACUCGACAAAUACAAUGAGGACAAUGGUCUUGUAGGGGAUCUUGCAUAUGAACUAGAAAAUAUUGUGAGCCACAAAUCAUGUUUUGACGGGAAAGAUUGCAUUUAUAGAUCUUACGAUCAUUUCAAUCUCACUAUGAAGACUAAAGGAGCUGCCAACAAGGAUCUGUACUUUGCUGAAGUCACAUGUAUGGACGGCGAUUAUGAAGCAUAUGUGCUCACCUGUAUCUGCAUGGUCAAACCUGAUGACAAUGGUGAAUGCCACGUGUGUGGAGCUGACAUGAAGCACCCUGCUCAUGAUGGAUACAACCGUGGCCGCCCCUUUAUUUCAUAUAGACAUGGUAGACGUCGUGCACGUGGAGUUCCUUUAUUUGAGAAGUUAUUUGCCGUGCGUGAUGAAGCUUGGCUGAAAGAAGAGGAGGCUAGGGUGAGACGUAUGAUCACGGAAGGGAAGGAGGAAAGGCGCAAGUUUCAUACCGGCUAGACGACGGACGACGUAGGGCACCAUUUCUACGACAAGUAAUUCCGAACGGAGGGAGUAGAUGAUAAGGAGAUGAGCGAGAUGAAACUUUACUGAAUAGGGCACCCACAGCUCGCCGUAAGACGCUUGCCGGCGUUAAAAUCUCCACGAGAGGCGGCCUUUCGCUGCAACGGCGACAAGAAGGCUGCUGCUCCAGCGGCCAAGGUGGCGGAAAAGCUCGUGUGUCGCAGUCUGGGGAUCAUCAGGGACGGGAAAGAUGUCACGGUGGACACGUUGGACAAGUUCACAGGCAAGUUCAAGGACCAGCUAAGCGUCGAGGACGCCUUGAUCGACCAUGGUGGCGAGGGUGCCACGGAGCUUGGGGCCGACCAGGACGGGGCCCUGGGCUCGCAGCCGACGGAAGCCUAAGUUGUCAUCUACGUUGUUGGGAGUUCCUAGUUGCUAUGUUAGACCAACUUUCCAUUAGGCCCAGUGUGGUUUCUUUAGUUUUUGCUUUCCUUUGCGUGAGUUGUAUCAGAGGCACCGGAUUGCUUAGUUGGUUGGGUUGUAUGUGGCAGUUUCACCCAUGCCUUGCCGUUCAA
RNA transcript from Triticum aestivum (bread wheat), 1913 nucleotides. RefSeq lists it as uncharacterized. NCBI's taxonomy places the organism in Eukaryota, Viridiplantae, Streptophyta, Magnoliopsida, Poales, Poaceae. The transcript has 9 exons. The record is from RefSeq and is a predicted model, not a curated record.